UUAUAGCCCGCCUGCCUGGGUCUGAAUCCCUUUUCUGCCACUUACCAAGUUAUGUGGCCUUGGGCAAGCUAUCUGACUGCACUGUGUCUUACUCUCCCCUCUGCAAGUUGAGGAAAAUAUUAAUAGAACCAACUUCAUAUGGUUAAUGUGAAGAUUAAAUUAGUUAAUAUUUGUAAUAUGCUUAGUUUUUUACAUGGCACAUACUAAACUAUACAAGUGCUUAUCAAAUAAAUGGUCCUUAAACUCCGGACAGGCUAAGUUUUAAUUUUGUAAGAGGGAGAGGCCAGGGAUAUGCUGGGAAGAACCCAGUCCUGGAGUGUCCCUAUCUGUAGGCUGUGCCUCUACCCCGUAGUUCUGCGUCAUGAAAUUGUCUUCAGGUCAGAUGGACCUAAUCUACUAUUGCUGAAAAGAAGGCCCGCCUUCUGGAAGUGAGAAGAAAUGUCAGCACCCGUGUGAUAAGAUAGGUUCCAGUCCAUCAACAGGUGUGUCCUGAGCAUCUGUCCUGCUUGGGGCUUGGAACUGUGCUGGGUGGUGCUGAAGAAGCAAAAGCAUCCUCCGAAAUGCUCCAUCGUAAAUUACAUGACCUCAUGUUGGAAUGGGGGUUGAGGUCACUUCCAGCCCUUGGAGGUUUAAGCAAUAGUCGUGCUGCUUAUGCAAGAGAGGAAGCAGAGCUGUAUUAGUGGCUUCUGAUACCCUCCUCCAAGCUCUGCCAGCCCCAGCACUGCCAGCCUGCCUCUCUUGGCAUUGGCCCCCGCCGCCUGCACCUGCCCUCAGCCACUCCACAGUGGUCACAGAGCACCCACUGUGUGCCUGGCACUGUGCCAGGGGGCGGCGGGAGAGAUGUGGAACGGAAGACCUGGUGCCUGUCCUCAGGGGGCUUGCAGUCCAGCAGGGGAGACGGACUGAGCAGCAAACACCGAAAACCUGCAAGAUUAAAGAAGGGCUAGUUAGAAGCACACACUAGUGCUGAGGGGAUGCCUGGUAAAGGUGAUUCCUUCUGAUGGGGCUGGGAGGGGUCAGGGAAGGCUUCUCAGAGGAGGAGGCACUUGAGCUGGCUUUGAAGGAUGGGUAGCGUUUUGAUAGCUCUGUGUGUGUGUGUGUGUGUGCGCGUGCGCGCACGCAAGAGCAAGCGUGUGUGAACAGGAGCAAGAGGUGGGGCGGGAGAGAGGGAGAAAUACAGGUGAGAAGAUAGGAAAAGUGGUAAUUUCAGAGUCAUGGUCAUAAAAUUAGAGGAGGCGGGGUAUAUAGGCUUUAUGAGUGAGGUGGAUUUGAACUGGGUAAUCUGGGCAAAAUGAGGACUUUUUAAACAUUUAUUUUUAAAUUCACGUACAGCAAAAUUUACUCUUUCUAGCGUACAGUUCUCUGGGUUUUGACAACUGCAAAGUGUUGGGUAUUCUCCAGCACGGUCAAGGUACAGAAUGGCUCCAUCUCCCCCAAAGAUUCCCUCAUGCUGACACCCCUUUGUUGUCUGUCCGUCUGUCCCCCUCCCCCUGUCCCCGACCCAUGCCCAUCCCCUGACAACAUGGCUCUGUCCACUCCUGUCAUUGUGCCUUUUCAAGAAUAUCAGAUGGAGUCAUACAGUAUGUGGCUUUUGGGUCUGCUUCUUUCACUCAGCAUGGUGCCUUGAGUCACCCAGUUGUGUGUAUCAAUAGCUUGUUCCUUUUCUUGCUGUGUAGGACUCCAUUAUAUGCAUACACUGCAGUGUGCUUAUCCAGUCACUGGUGGACGGACUGUAGGUUGUUUCCAGCCUUUGUUGAUUUUGAAUAAAGCUGUUGUGAACAUUUGUGUGCAGGUUUCUAUGUGGACACAGGCCUUCAUUUCUCUUGGAUAAAUAGCAAGGAGUGGGAUUGCGGGUCCCCACGGUGGCGAACGUGCGACGGGUUAAGACACGCGCCGCUGUUGGCGUAAGCGUACCGCUCUGCAAUGGUACCGGCGACGCGGGAGCGUUCUGGUGCUCCGAUUCUUCAACAGCACUUGAGUUCUUUAAUAUUCUGGAUACAAGUCCCUUGUCGGAUGUGCGAUUUACACAUUUUUGGAGAAAAUUCAUUUAAGGAGAAAAUCUCCACAAGAAGAUGUUGGGUGUGAACGACUCUGAAAGCAAGGAAAGAGUUUGGUUGGUGUCCUGAGCCUUGGCCUUUCUUCAGGGGACCCAGGUCCAACGGGCGCUCCUCCAAGCGGAGCCUUGGAGGGCAAGGCCGGCACCAUUACCUCCAACGAGUGGAGCCCUCCUAACUCCCCUGAGGGGAGCAACGUCUCUGGGGGCAGUCAGGCGUUGGACAAGCCCAUUGACAAUGACGCGGAGGGUGUGUGGAGUCCGGACAUUGAGCAGAGCUUCCAGGAGGCCCUGGCCAUCUACCCGCCUUGUGGCCGGCGCAAGAUCAUCCUGUCAGACGAGGGCAAGAUGUACGGUAAGGAGCCUGUUGGGGUGGGGUGGCAGGCCCCUGCCCUCAUGGUUCAGUUCUGGAAAUAAGGCCCAGGCAUGGGGUGGGCACAGCACCCUUGGGUUCUCCAAGUAAUGGAAGUGGGAACGACCACGGGGGCAUUUAUCGGGU
This is a non-coding RNA of Leptonychotes weddellii (Weddell seal), 2552 nucleotides long. Lineage: Eukaryota; Metazoa; Chordata; Mammalia; Carnivora; Phocidae. The record is from RefSeq and is a predicted model, not a curated record.